This is a long non-coding RNA of Pristis pectinata (smalltooth sawfish), 692 nucleotides long. RefSeq lists it as uncharacterized. NCBI's taxonomy places the organism in Eukaryota, Metazoa, Chordata, Chondrichthyes, Rhinopristiformes, Pristidae. The record is from RefSeq and is a predicted model, not a curated record. The transcript is spliced from 3 exons.
GCGUGCCUUCUCUCCACCACCCCCCACCCCCCCAUCGCCCCAACACCUUGAGCCACAACAGUCGGGGGCUGGGUCAAGCUGAGCAGAGCUGGGAGUCACUUACUGGGUCCUCAAGUCCUGACAAAGUCGGGAGAUGGAGCCAGAUUUGGAGCGGGGCCUUUGAAAAGAGUAAACAAGGAUGUGCAAAAGUUUUUGAACCUUUCUACUCUCAAUCACCAACAAAGUGAAGGAAGCAGUCCUUGACAGUGCUAUCAAGUCAUACUUAUCCACACUCACUGGGCUUCGCCAGGCCCAUUCAGUAACAGACCUCAUCACAGCCUUGGAAGCGGCGGAAAGGGUGAGCAGCUUCAAGUUCCUGAGCGUCAACUUCUCAGAGCAUCUGUCCUGGGCCCAACACAUUGAUGCAAUCACGAAGGUGACACGCCAGCAGCUCUACUUCAUCAGGAGUUUGAGGAGAUUUAGUAUGUCACCAAAGACUCUUGCAAAUUUCUACAGAUGUACGAUGGAGAGCAUUCUGACUGGUUGCAUCACUGCCUGAUGUGAAGGCUCCAAUGUGCAGAUCAAAAGAGGGUUGUAGACUCAGCCAGCUCCAUCAUAGGCACAACCCUCCCUGCCAUCAAGGACAUCUUCAAGAGGCAGUACCUCAAGAAGGUGGCAUCCAUCAUUAAAGAACCUCACCACCUGGGACAUGC